CGCCCCGCUCCUGACCCCGCCCCCAGCGCCGCGCGACUCCAGUGGCACCUGCGCUCCCUGAACCCGCACGGCCCGGGUGCUUCCGGCGCUUCUCAGCUGAUGGUGGGUCACCCGUGGCGCGUCCGGUUCUGUAUUUGGUAUGAUUUCACUUGUGCGCACCAUGCUGGCCUUCCUGCAUCUGAAAUUUCCCCCUUCCUCGACUCUGGAGAGAAGUCGUAUUUAACUUGCAUUUCUAGCAAUAAGAAGGAUAUGAAACCGCGGAAGCUCUCCGCGGCAGCACACCAUUCCGUCUUCGGCGUUCCGACACCGAGAGGUGCACCUACUCUGCACCUCUGCUUGCCGCCUGCGGGUCCGCUUCGGACUCACACUCUGCACUUCCCCCGAGUCAUCACUCGCUGCACCCCAGUGCACGUGGAMGAGUGUACCUUCAGCUUGCUCUGCAUUGCGCUCACCUGAGGAAACCCAGCUGGAUGAGCCCGACCCUUCUCCUCCGAGGCCUCUGGAGAAACGUCACCAGCCGGCCUGAUGGGCUUCCGUUGGAAUCCUUGACCACAUUCGCAGAAAGAGCACUUCACACUCUUAAGCAAUCUCCAAGAGGGCAUGUCUCCCCGCUAUCAGAUAACUUCUCAGAUCCCCCUAGUUAAGCCUCCCAGAGGGGACCAAAACACCCAUCACCAAACCGCAGGCUCAUCACAUCCAUCCCCUGCCUUUCACUUUCUCUCCAGAAAGUAGGCCUUCGUAUUUCUCUUCUCCUAUCAAAUACAAUUGCUUCAGGGAACUGGAAUCCAUGCCUUUCUCCUGCAUUGUCAGUUUGCCCAUCUCCAUUGAAUAAUUUCCAAGAUCAUGCAAACACACUCUCUCUGUUCAUUAUAAAAGUCCCCUCCCUGGGGACUCCACUAUUCCCUUAAUGACUGUGCCAGCACCUCAAUAUCAUCUUGUUUUAUUUCUUUUUCUCUCUUCCACCGAUUCCAUAAAAAUGUUCUUGCUUAGGUCACUUUUUGUGCAGUGUAGAGCAUUCUUCUGUUAUCUUGUUGCCCUGUCUGAACGUCCAACAUGUGGCCUUUGUGGAUGGUAGCACUGGCUGUACAGGUCUGUGAUUGUGAGGGGAUGACCCUGUGUGUCCACACUUGUAGCACAAAUCGAGGUCAGAGUUUGGGUGAGGAUUUCGGGCAACCGUAUCCACACAUCCUAGAAAGGUGCAAAUGCAAUUAUUGAGGACUUCUGGGGGAGGGAACAACAUCCUUUGCCUUCACCUUCUAUGUGAGUGUAAGCAAAGAUAGAGGGCGAGGAUUUUCUUAGAAAAAGGGGUAGACCUAGUAGUGGGGAUUAUUUUCUAUUUCUACUCUCCUUCCCAACAGGUGUGAACAUUUAUGUAACUGAAAAUUAAAAUGUGGGAAAAGAUAGGUUAAGGGGAUAUGACACAAAGUAAAUGCAAGAUAGCAAUUUUAAUGUUAGAAAAAGUAGAACAUAAGUACAAAAUGUUAUAAAGGACCAAGGGGAAAUUAUAUUCUCAGAAAAUUAUAAAUAAUUAACUAUAUUAAUAUAUUCAUUAACAUACUUGAAACUGAUCUUUGGUGAGAUAGACAAGUCAACCACUGUGAACAGAAUUUUAACACCUCUGAUAAAUCAGGCAGAAACGAGCCAAAAUACAGAAUACUUGAAUAACAUGGUUAACAAACUUAAACUAAGAGAUAUAGAAAUAACAUUAUAUCUAAAAGGUGGAAGAUGCAAACAAGGUAAUUUCACAAAAACUGACCAUGGCACUGAUUCAAAUUCCAGAGGAUCAGUGUCACUCAGAGUAUAAUCUAGCACAAAAGGACUAAAAUUUGAAAGUAAUUACAAAGGAAUAAGUGAGAUACAUCCCAGAUACAAUGAAAUAGCCCCCACUACAUUCUUCAGUUAAAAAGGAAAUAAAAGCUAGGCAUGGUGGUGCA
This 1934-nucleotide long non-coding RNA is filed under the name Urocitellus parryii (Arctic ground squirrel). RNAcentral describes it as "lncRNA (ENSUPAG00010023568.1)". Lineage: Eukaryota; Metazoa; Chordata; Mammalia; Rodentia; Sciuridae. The record is from RNAcentral.